RNAcentral lists this ribosomal RNA (521 nucleotides) under uncultured Acidobacteriota bacterium. Its description in RNAcentral is "SSU rRNA". It matches the Rfam family "Bacterial small subunit ribosomal RNA", at positions 242 to 780 of the family's 1533-position model. The record is from RNAcentral. Lineage: Bacteria; Pseudomonadati; Acidobacteriota.
CAGCUAGUUGGCGGGGUAACGGCCCACCAAGGCUUAGAUCGGUAGCCGGCCUGAGAGGGCGCACGGCCACACUGGAACUGAAACACGGUCCAGACUCCUACGGGAGGCAGCAGUGGGGAAUUUUGCGCAAUGGGGGAAACCCUGACGCAGCAACGCCGCGUGGAGGAUGAAGUCCCUUGGGACGUAAACUCCUUUCGACCCGGACGAUAAUGACGGUACGGGUGGAAGAAGCCCCGGCUAACUUCGUGCCAGCAGCCGCGGUAAUACGAGGGGGGCAAGCGUUGUUCGGAAUUAUUGGGCGUAAAGGGCGCGUAGGCGGUGCGGUAAGUCACCUGUGAAACCUCUAGGCUCAACCUAGAGCCUGCAGGCGAAACUGCCGUGCUUGAGGGUGGGAGAGGUGCGUGGAAUUCCCGGUGUAGCGGUGAAAUGCGUACAUAUCGGGAGGAACACCUGUGGCGAAAGCGGCGCACUGGACCACAUCUGACGCUGAGGCGCGAAAGCUAGGGGAGCAAACAGGAUUA